AGAGUUUGAUCCUGGCUCAGAUUGAACGCUGGCGGCAUGCCUUACACAUGCAAGUCGAACGGCAGCACGGGAGCAAUCCUGGUGGCGAGUGGCGAACGGGUGAGUAAUAUAUCGGAACGUGCCCAGUCGUGGGGGAUAACGCAGCGAAAGCUGUGCUAAUACCGCAUACGAUCCAUGGAUGAAAGCGGGGGAUCGCAAGACCUCGCGCGAUUGGAGCGGCCGAUAUCAGAUUAGCUAGUUGGUGGGGUAAAAGCCCACCAAGGCGACGAUCUGUAGCUGGUCUGAGAGGACGACCAGCCACACUGGAACUGAGACACGGUCCAGACUCCUACGGGAGGCAGCAGUGGGGAAUUUUGGACAAUGGGCGCAAGCCUGAUCCAGCAAUGCCGCGUGCAGGAUGAAGGCCUUCGGGUUGUAAACUGCUUUUGUACGGAACGAAACGGUUCGCUUUAAUACAGUGGGCUAAUGACGGUACCGUAAGAAUAGACCGACUUCGCC
Molecule: ribosomal RNA, 498 nt
Filed under: uncultured Rhodoferax sp.
Lineage: Bacteria; Pseudomonadati; Pseudomonadota; Betaproteobacteria; Burkholderiales; Comamonadaceae
Description: bacterial SSU rRNA
Rfam family: Bacterial small subunit ribosomal RNA
Source: RNAcentral